Molecule: unclassified non-coding RNA, 151 nt
Filed under: uncultured fungus
Lineage: Eukaryota; Fungi
Description: sequence contains ITS1, 5.8S rRNA gene
Source: RNAcentral
CAGGAUUCGCAAGUCUCCUAUAACCCCUGUGAACCUACUGUAUAUACGUUGCUUCGGCGGGUGCCCCGCGUAACACCGGGGCGCUACGCCCGCCGGCAGCCUACAAAUUCUGUUUCUUUGCGUUGGCAUCUCGAGUAUUUUUAAUAAGUUA